UGGGGAAUUUUCCGCAAUGGGCGAAAGCCUGACGGAGCAAGACCGCGUGAGGGAGGAAGGCUCUUGGGUUGUAAACCUCUUUUCUCAGGGAAGAAGCUCUGACGGUACCUGAGGAAUCAGCCUCGGCUAACUCCGUGCCAGCAGCCGCGGUAAUACGGAGGAGGCAAGCGUUAUCCGGAAUUAUNNNNCGUAAAGCGUCCGCAGGUGGCGAUUCAAGUCUGCUGUCAAAGCACGGGGCUUAACUCCGUUAAGGCAGUGGAAACUGAAUAGCUAGAGUGCCGUAGGGGUAGAGGGAAUUCCCGGUGUAGCGGUGAAAUGCGUAGAGAUCGGGAAGAACAUCGGUGGCGAAAGCGCUCUACUGGACGGCAACUGACACUCAGGGACGAAAGCUAGGGGAGCGAAUGGGAUUAGAUACCCCAGUAGUCCUAGCUGUAAACGAUGGAUACUAGGUGUAGCUUGUAUCGACCC
Molecule: ribosomal RNA, 468 nt
Filed under: Coleofasciculus chthonoplastes
Lineage: Bacteria; Bacillati; Cyanobacteriota; Cyanophyceae; Coleofasciculales; Coleofasciculaceae
Description: bacterial SSU rRNA
Rfam family: Bacterial small subunit ribosomal RNA
Source: RNAcentral